GACGAACGCUGGCGGCGUGCUUAACACAUGCAAGUCGAACGGAAAGGCCCUGCUUUUGUGGGGUGCUCGAGUGGCGAACGGGUGAGUAACACGUGAGUAACCUGCCCUUGACUUUGGGAUAACUUCAGGAAACUGGGGCUAAUACCGGAUAGGAGCUCCUGCUGCAUGGUGGGGGUUGGAAAGUUUCGGCGGUUGGGGACGGACUCGCGGCUUAUCAGCUUGUUGGUGGGGUAGUGGCUUACCAAGGCUUUGACGGGUAGCCGGCCUGAGAGGGUGACCGGCCACAUUGGGACUGAGAUACGGCCCAGACUCCUACGGGAGGCAGCAGUGGGGAAUAUUGCACAAUGGGCGGAAGCCUGAUGCAGCAACGCCGCGUGCGGGAUGACGGCCUUCGGGUUGUAAACCGCUUUCGCCUGUGACGAAGCGUGAGUGACGGUAAUGGGUAAAGAAGCACCGGCUAACUACGUGCCAGCAGCCGCGGUGAUACGUAGGGUGCGAGCGUUGUCCGGAUUUAUUGGGCGUAAAGGGCUCGUAGGUGGUUGAUCGCGUCGGAAGUGUAAUCUUGGGGCUUAACCCUGAGCGUGCUUUCGAUACGGGUUGACUUGAGGAAGGUAGGGGAGAAUGGAAUUCCUGGUGGAGCGGUGGAAUGCGCAGAUAUCAGGAGGAACACCAGUGGCGAAGGCGGUUCUCUGGGCCUUUCCUGACGCUGAGGAGCGAAAGCGUGGGGAGCGAACAGGCUUAGAUACCCUGGUAGUCCACGCUGUAAACGGUGGGUACUAGGUGUGGGGUCCAUUCCACGGGUUCCGUGCCGUAGCUAACGCUUUAAGUACCCCGCCUGGGGAGUACGGCCGCAAGGCUAAAACUCAAAGGAAUUGACGGGGCCCCGCACAAGCGGCGGAGCAUGCGGAUUAAUUCGAUGCAACGCGUAGAACCUUACCUGGGUUUGACAUGGAUCGGGAGUGCUCAGAGAUGGGUGUGCCUCUUUUGGGGUCGGUUCACAGGUGGUGCAUGGCUGUCGUCAGCUCGUGUCGUGAGAUGUUGGGUUAAGUCCCGCAACGAGCGCAACCCUUGUUCACUGUUGCCAGCACGUUAUGGUGGGGACUCAGUGGAGACCGCCGGGGUCAACUCGGAGGAGGGUGGGGAUGACGUCAAGUCAUCAUGCCCCUUAUGUCCAGGGCUUCACGCAUGCUACAAUGGCUGGUACAGAGAGUGGCGAGCCUGUGAGGGUGAGCGAAUCUCGGAAAGCCGGUCUCAGUUCGGAUUGGGGUCUGCAACUCGACCUCAUGAAGUCGGAGUCGCUAGUAAUCGCAGAUCAGCAACGCUGCGGUGAAUACGUUCCCGGGGCU
Molecule: ribosomal RNA, 1346 nt
Filed under: uncultured bacterium
Lineage: Bacteria
Description: partial 16S ribosomal RNA
Rfam family: Bacterial small subunit ribosomal RNA
Source: RNAcentral